RNAcentral lists this ribosomal RNA (549 nucleotides) under uncultured bacterium. RNAcentral's name for it is "bacterial SSU rRNA". It matches the Rfam family "Bacterial small subunit ribosomal RNA", at positions 356 to 896 of the family's 1533-position model. The record is from RNAcentral.
AGGGAAUCUUCCGCAAUGGGCGAAAGCCUGACGGAGCAACGCCGCGUGAGUGAUGAAGGUCUUCGGAUCGUAAAACUCUGUUAUUAGGGAAGAACAAACGUGUAAGUAACUGUGCACGUCUUGACGGUACCUAAUCAGAAAGCCACGGCUAACUACGUGCCAGCAGCCGCGGUAAUACGUAGGUGGCAAGCGUUAUCCGGAAUUAUUGGGCGUAAAGCGCGCGUAGGCGGUUUUUUAAGUCUGAUGUGAAAGCCCACGGCUCAACCGUGGAGGGUCAUUGGAAACUGGAAAACUUGAGUGCAGAAGAGGAAAGUGGAAUUCCAUGUGUAGCGGUGAAAUGCGCAGGGAUAUGGAGGAACACCAGUGGCGAAGGCGACUUUCUGGUCUGUAACUGACGCUGAUGUGCGAAAGCGUGGGGAUCAAACAGGAUUAGAUACCCUGGUAGUCCACGCCGUAAACGAUGAGUGCUAAGUGUUAGGGGGUUUCCGCCCCUUAGUGCUGCAGCUAACGCAUUAAGCACUCCGCCUGGGGAGUACGACCGCAAGGUUG